This is a long non-coding RNA of Girardinichthys multiradiatus, 2554 nucleotides long. RefSeq lists it as uncharacterized. The transcript is spliced from 2 exons. NCBI's taxonomy places the organism in Eukaryota, Metazoa, Chordata, Actinopteri, Cyprinodontiformes, Goodeidae. The record is from RefSeq and is a predicted model, not a curated record.
UCUGCUCUGAGCUGCUGAGAUGUUUGUUAGACGAGCGUCUGAAGAAGAUGAAGGACUUCAUUCAUAGAAACGCAGCUUCAUCACAGCAGAUGUUGUGGAGAAAAAGAGGUUCAGGGAGAAGCUGCAGUAAGGACCUUCAACCCUGUCUGAACUGUUUUACUGUGUUUUCUACAAGGGUUUUCAUCCAAUCUGCUGAACCUGAAGGAGAACCUGCUUCCAGCUGCACAAAGUUCUGAUUCCCUCUGAGUCUAGAGAUGGUUUUAUCUGCUGAGCUUCACUGUUAACAAACACUUGAUGCAGCUGGACUUCUUCUGUCUCCUGGAUGAUGUUUCUCCUUUGGUUCCUGUGUUUCACAGUUACUGAGAGGAGGACCACGCCUCGGUUUAACGUUCCUCUCAUGUUCCUGUGAUGUGACCUGCUGGUUCUUCUACAGCAGCAGAGGUCCAACUCUUCUCCAUCAGCAUGGAGGAGACAAAUAAUCCUGACCCGUUUCAUUCCUGUCUGUCUCUGAACAGACGGAGGAGAAAAGCUGCGUCUUUAACGAAUGUUCUGGAUCAGAGCGGUUCUGGUUCUCCUGCUUCACUGAACGUUUCUGAUCCACAAUAAAACACCUGCUAGAAACAGUGAGAGUGUUACAUGAACACACCGAACCGGGCUUUAACCGGAUCAGACCGUCUCAGCUACAGUUUCCACACCUCUGAACUAAAACGGAACCAGAACAUAUUCGGACCUUUUUUCCCACCAAUGAGGCGUUUCAGUUUGGUUAAAGAUCAGCAUGGAAACACAUGAGGGUCCGCAGUGUCUCCAGGUUGGAGCUGCUGCAGCAGGAAGUGGGCCAGCAGGUUAGUUGGUGCUGCUCACAUUAAAUGUCAGGAAGCUGGAGAACAGCAGAACAUUUUCCUGAAGGUCGUCUGAUGUCUGGAAGUUCUGACAUGAAGGUUUUCUACUGACUGUCAGUGAUGGAGACACAGAGUGGAAAUCAUCUAAAAUAUCAAGUUUUUCCUCAGAUUUUAGGUUUUCUUCUUCAUUUGGAGCCAUUCAUGGAUUAAUCUGCUCCUUGUUUUAUUCUUUGACCCAAAUAUUUAAACUAUUCAGGACAUGUUUUAUUUAUUAGAGGAAGAUUAUAUUUCUAUUUGAUGUCAUAUUAGCCAUAAAUACAUUUUUAUGAUCACUAAAUUAUUUCCAACUAAUUUAGCAUCAAACAGAUAAUUGAUGUUCCUGACGGCACCGACAGCCAUCAGUCAUUUUAACCUGAUUUCAUCUAAUCUGUAGUUUUACUUUUUAUUUAUUUACCAAACAAACUGAGUUCAGUCCAGUAAGGUUCUGCUGGUGGUUUGGUUCAGUCCAAAUGGGCCCAUUUUAGUGAUGUUCUGUCUGUUAACUUGAUUUAAACUAAUUUCCACUGAGAACAAACAGCUAAUCGGGCAGCAUCUCCAUCCUGCUCGGUGCGGCUCAGCUCGGUCCAGAAUCUGGUUCUGAUGGAGCGGUUUCCUGUGGCCCGGGAAGUUUAGUUAAAGUUCUGGUGGAUAAAGUGUUCCUAAUAUCUGCUGGUUAGUGUGAGAUGAACAGAACCACUGUGGCAGAGAUCUACAGUGGUUCUGAUCUCAGAACCUCUUUAGGUGUGGGAGGUUUUUCCUUUGGUUCUGUUCUUCAGUCUCUAACAGCAGAACCGGGUCAUCGUCUGGUUCUGCUGGUUCUCAUCCAAACAGCCACGUUCUCGUCUCCUUGGUGUUGGUCAGUGAACAGACUGCUGGGAAAUCUUCUCCAUCAUCACAUCCCUGAUCGUGACCUUUGACCUCUCCAGUCUCAUCGUUGCUCUCACAGCCAAACAUGCUGUGGAAGAUGUGAGCAGCUGAGAACGUCUGCAGGAACAUCUCAGCACAGACUUGAUAAGACUGAAGGUCACAUGUUCCUCACAGCCAAUCAGAGGAUGGAAAUGUGUUUCUAUGGCAACAUGUGGAGACUUUAGAGACAGCCGUCAAGAGUCAGAUCCUAACAGUCCAUCUCCUCUCUCCACCACAGAGCUUCUCUGCCUCCACUAACACUCAGCUUAUUGACCCUGAUGAAGAUGAUGGAGGUCCAUGUGAGCUGCAGGAGCAGAACCACCCUGAUGAAGACUCCUGACCAGCACACUCAGACCAGACCUGAUCCUUCCUUUAACAUCACAACAACUGAAACUACACAGAAACAUCAUCAGUUCAGGAACUUCCUCUUCCUGUGAGGUUCUACAGACUUUAACCUCCAGAAGGUUUUCUAGAAGCUUCCACUGAAGGAGAGUUUAGGUCCAGGGUUUGAUCACUGCAGGAACAUCAGCACAGAAACAGGUUUUAUUUCACUUUAAUGUUCCAGCUGAGAUGAAUCUCCUCUCUGGUUCUUUCUGAAGGAUCAUCAUUGCUGCUCCUCUCCUCUGAUGAUCUCACAGCUCUGCUCUCUCUGCAGCUUUAAGGCCAACAGAUCCCAGAAUAACCUUCAAAGUUAAAGAUCCUGCAGCUCUUCUGACAACAGAACCAGAACACAAACUGAAACCAACAUAAACUCCAUCUGGGCUGACUGG